This 253-nucleotide ribosomal RNA is filed under the name uncultured bacterium. RNAcentral describes it as "partial 16S ribosomal RNA". It matches the Rfam family "Bacterial small subunit ribosomal RNA", at positions 524 to 776 of the family's 1533-position model. The record is from RNAcentral.
UACGUAGGGUGCAAGCGUUAUCCGGAUUCACUGGGUUUAAAGGGAGCGCAGGCGGAUUAGUAAGUCAGUGGUGAAAGCCUUAAGCUUAACUUGGGAACUGCCAUUGAUACUAUUAGUCUUGAAUGUUGUUGAGGUUUGCGGAAUGGGUCAUGUGGCGGUGAAAUGCAUAGAUAUGACCCGGAACACCUAUUUCGAAGGCAGCAGGCUAAACAAAUAUUGACGCUGAGGCUCGAAAGCGUGGGGAUCAAACAGG